CGUAGCGCACAGCUCAGUAACACGUGGCUAACCUGCCCUUGGGACAGAGACACCCCGGGAAACUGGGGCUAAUCCCUGAUAGGUGAAGAACUCUGGAAUGAGUCUUCACCCAAAAGACGCCUAGGCCACGCUUCUAGGCGCCGCCCAAGGAUGGGUCUGCGGCCUAUCAGGUUGUAGUGGGUGUAACGUACCUACUAGCCUACGACGGGUAAGGGUUGUGAGAGCAAGAGUCCUGAGAUGGAUUCUGAGACAUGAAUCCAGGCCCUACGGGGUGCAGCAGGCGCGAAAACUUUACACUGCUAGAAAUAGCGAUAAGGGGACCCCGAGUGCCAUACCUAGUACGGCUGUCCCGCUGUCCAAACAACAGUGGUUACAAGGGCCGGGCAAGACCGGUGCCAGCCGCCGCGGUAACACCGGCGGCCCGAGUGGUAGCCGUUAUUAUUGGGUUUAAAGGGUCCGUAGCCGGCCUGUUAAGUCUCUUGGGAAAUCUGGCGGCUUAAUCGUCAGGCUCCAAGAGAUACUGACAGGCUUGGGACCGGGAGAGGUGGGAGGUACUCCAGGGGUAGGGGUGAAAUCUCGUAAUCCUUGGGGGACCACCGAUGGCGAAGGCAUCCCACCAGAACGGGUCCGACGGUGAGGGACGAAAGCUGGGGGCACGAACCGGAUUAGAUACCCGGGUAGUCCCAGCUGUAAACGAUGCUCGCUAGGUGUCAGGUGCGGUGCGACCGCAUCUGGUGCCGCAGUGAAAACUUGAAGCGAGUCACCUGGGAAGUAAGUCGCAAGGCUGAACUUAAAGCCCA
This 800-nucleotide ribosomal RNA is filed under the name uncultured soil archaeon. Its description in RNAcentral is "bacterial SSU rRNA". It matches the Rfam family "Archaeal small subunit ribosomal RNA", at positions 77 to 865 of the family's 1478-position model. The record is from RNAcentral.